Armigeres subalbatus is the source of this 164-nucleotide small nuclear RNA. RefSeq annotates it as U1 spliceosomal RNA. The transcript has a single exon. NCBI's taxonomy places the organism in Eukaryota, Metazoa, Arthropoda, Insecta, Diptera, Culicidae. The record is from RefSeq and is a predicted model, not a curated record.
AUACUUACCUGGCACAGAGGUUACCAUGAUCAUCAAGGUGGUUCCUCCAGGGUGAGACUCGACCAUUGCACUACGGUUGGGUUGACCUCUGCGAAUAUCCCUCAUGUGGAUCAUUCGUGUGUGCAAUUUUUGAUAGCUGGGAUGUGCGUGCGCGCAUGUCCCAU